Molecule: ribosomal RNA, 751 nt
Filed under: fungal endophyte
Lineage: Eukaryota; Fungi
Description: eukaryotic LSU rRNA
Rfam family: Eukaryotic large subunit ribosomal RNA (bases 500-751)
Source: RNAcentral
CUGCGGAGGGUCAUUACACAAAUAUGAAGGCGGGCUGGAACCUCUCGGGGUUACAGCCUUGCUGAAUUAUUCACCCUUGUCUUUUGCGUACUUCUUGUUUCCUUGGUGGGUUCGCCCACCACUAGGACAAACAUAAACCUUUUGUAAUUGCAAUCAGCGUCAGUAACAAAUUAAUAAUUACAACUUUCAACAACGGAUCUCUUGGUUCUGGCAUCGAUGAAGAACGCAGCGAAAUGCGAUAAGUAGUGUGAAUUGCAGAAUUCAGUGAAUCAUCGAAUCUUUGAACGCACAUUGCGCCCUUUGGUAUUCCAAAGGGCAUGCCUGUUCGAGCGUCAUUUGUACCCUCAAGCUUUGCUUGGUGUUGGGCGUCUUGUCUCUAGCUUUGCUGGAGACUCGCCUUAAAGUAAUUGGCAGCCGGCCUACUGGUUUCGGAGCGCAGCACAAGUCGCACUCUCUAUCAGCAAAGGUCUAGCAUCCAUUAAGCCUUUUUUUCAACUUUUGACCUCGGAUCAGGUAGGGAUACCCGCUGAACUUAAGCAUAUCAAUAAGCGGAGGAAAAGAAACCAACAGGGAUUGCCCUAGUAACGGCGAGUGAAGCGGCAACAGCUCAAAUUUGAAAUCUGGCUCUUUUAGAGUCCGAGUUGUAAUUUGCAGAGGGCGCUUUGGCUUUGGCAGCGGUCCAAGUUCCUUGGAACAGGACGUCACAGAGGGUGAGAAUCCCGUACGUGGUCGCUGGCUAUUGCCGUGUAAA